RNAcentral lists this ribosomal RNA (253 nucleotides) under uncultured bacterium. Its description in RNAcentral is "partial 16S ribosomal RNA". It matches the Rfam family "Bacterial small subunit ribosomal RNA", at positions 524 to 776 of the family's 1533-position model. The record is from RNAcentral.
UACGUAGGGUGCGAGCGUUGUCCGGAAUUAUUGGGCGUAAAGGGCUCGUAGGCGGUUUGUCGCGUCGGGAGUGAAAUCAUCUGGCUUAACUGGGUGCUUGCUUUCGAUACGGGCAGACUAGAGGUAUGCAGGGGAGAACGGAAUUCCUGGUGUAGCGGUGAAAUGCGCAGAUAUCAGGAGGAACACCGGUGGCGAAGGCGAGUCCCUGGACAACACCUGACACUGAGGCACGAAAGCUAGGGGAGCAAACAGG